This 654-nucleotide ribosomal RNA is filed under the name uncultured Pseudomonas sp. RNAcentral describes it as "bacterial SSU rRNA". It matches the Rfam family "Bacterial small subunit ribosomal RNA", at positions 8 to 657 of the family's 1533-position model. Lineage: Bacteria; Pseudomonadati; Pseudomonadota; Gammaproteobacteria; Pseudomonadales; Pseudomonadaceae. The record is from RNAcentral.
AGAGUUUGAUCAUGGCUCAGAUUGAACGCUGGCGGCAGGCCUAACACAUGCAAGUCGAGCGGAUGAGAAGAGCUUGCUCUUCGAUUCAGCGGCGGACGGGUGAGUAAUGCCUAGGAAUCUGCCUGGUAGUGGGGGACAACGUUUCGAAAGGAACGCUAAUACCGCAUACGUCCUAAGGGAGAAAGCAGGGGACCUUCGGGCCUUGCGCUAUCAGAUGAGCCUAGGUCGGAUUAGCUAGUUGGUGGGGUAAUGGCUCACCAAGGCGACGAUCCGUAACUGGUCUGAGAGGAUGAUCAGUCACACUGGAACUGAGACACGGUCCAGACUCCUACGGGAGGCAGCAGUGGGGAAUAUUGGACAAUGGGCGAAAGCCUGAUCCAGCCAUGCCGCGUGUGUGAAGAAGGUCUUCGGAUUGUAAAGCACUUUAAGUUGGGAGGAAGGGCAGUAAGCGAAUACCUUGCUGUUUUGACGUUACCGACAGAAUAAGCACCGGCUAACUCUGUGCCAGCAGCCGCGGUAAUACAGAGGGUGCAAGCGUUAAUCGGAAUUACUGGGCGUAAAGCGCGCGUAGGUGGUUUGGUAAGUUGAAUGUGAAAGCCCCGGGCUCAACCUGGGAACUGCCUCCAAAACUGGCAAGCUAGAGUACGGUAGAGG